RNAcentral lists this unclassified non-coding RNA (4633 nucleotides) under Lytechinus variegatus (green sea urchin). Its description in RNAcentral is "threonine synthase-like 1, transcript variant X1". The record is from RNAcentral. Lineage: Eukaryota; Metazoa; Echinodermata; Echinoidea; Temnopleuroida; Toxopneustidae.
AUAGAACCUGAAUUGAGUUGUCUUCGUUCUGUAAUGAUUCGUAUCAAGUGUCAGAUCAGAGAAAUACUUUCCACUGUAUUACAACAACGGUCAUUGUGGAGCGCCCGUCACGAUGCUACACAGAUGCGGCAGUCUGGUCCUGUCUCACCCCGAAUGGUCGGGGAUGAAAGCGGCUGGUUUCCGUCUCGUGGGAUCUGCUGCACCGGGGGUGGGAGUGGUUGGCAUUCAGAAUUUCCUGUUAAGGUCUCGCAAAGAUGGAAGAGCCACAAUUUCCACUAAUAUUUGUAGGACCAGGCAAUGGAACAGAAUAAAGGAAAGUAAUAAUAUUAUCCUGAAUGGCAGCCCAGGAGCAGGCAAGACUACAGUAGGAAGGAUUGUUGGCAAAAAGCUUGGUAUGGAUGUAUUAGAUGUUGAUAAUGAUAUAUUGGAAUCUGUAUGGGGUAUGCCAGUCAGUGAAAAGCUCUUUGAAGUUGGAGGAGAAAACUUUGUAGAAAAAGAGGGGGAAGCGCUCCUCACCUUCACCCCUCCCCCAGAUACAGUGGUGACACUCACUGGCUCCAAUGCCAUGCAUGGUGAAGCUAUGUCUCACAUCUCAAACUAUGGCCCGAUCUUAUUCCUGGAUGUCAAGAACGAAGACAUCCUCCAAAGACUAGAAGCAAUGAAGGUAAAUCGCAUUGUUGGGCAAGAGGCCGGUGUCUCAAUGACGGAGAUCCUGGCAUACAGGCAACAGUUCUAUGAGAAAUCUUACAGUGCGCGCAUCGUCUGCGAGGCUGACGAAGCACAAGAGAGCAUCGCUGGAAAGAUCGUUGAAGCCGUGGCUCGAUUAAAGAACAACAGCCCGUACAUUUCAACGAGGAAUUGUGGAAAGAGUUCGGGAAAAGAUUUUCUGAGUGCAGUUCUGCAGGGUUUGGCAGAGGACGGUGGCCUGUUUGUUCCUUCAGGACAGCUUCCGAAGAUGACCUUGAAGCAGUGGGAACGUCUUGUCCCGUGCACCUACCAACAAAGAGCUCAGCGUAUCCUGGAGCAGUGGAUUCACCCUGCUGACCUCCACCCCUCCGUACUGAAUGGAAUGAUCCAAAAAACUUACACGUCAGAUGCUUUCCAGUCUGAGGAUGUGGUGCCGGUCACUCAUCUAGAGGGAAACCAACAUCUGGUUGAGGUCUUCCAUGGACCGACUGCAUCUUUCAAGGAUGCUCCUUUACAACUCAUGCCUCAUUUCUUCCGAGAAGCAGUUAGUCAGAAAGGAGAUGCAAAAUAUCUUAUAUUAGUAGCCACAUCUGGUGAUACAGGGAGUGCAGUUUUAGAUGGAUUUGGUGCAACAAGUGUAACCAAUGGUGAUGAUGAUGUAUCUGUGAUGGUGUUCUAUCCCGAAGAGGGUGUUAGUCCAGUCCAGAAGUCUCUUAUGACUGCUGUCAACAGUCCUAAUGUCAGAGUCAUAGGUGUUGAAAGUGAUUUUGACUUCUGCCAGUCUGCCAUCAAGGAUAUCUUUUCAUCCGAGACCUGCAUGCUCCGUCACUCCCUUCUCAACGAUUACAACGUAAAGCUGAGUGCAGCAAACUCCAUUAACUGGGGGCGUCUGCUACCUCAGAUUGUCUACCAUGCGUCCUCGUACUUGGAUCUGGUAAGGCAAGGUGUCAUCAGUGUAGGGGAUCCUGUUGACCUGUGUGUUCCUACUGGAAACUUUGGAAACAUCUUGGGAGCGGUGUAUGCCAAGUUGAUGGGUAUUCCUCUAAGAAGACUACUCUGUGCUUCCAAUGUCAACAAUGUCUUGACAGACUUUCUACACACCGGGGUAUAUGAUCUUCGACAGAGGCCUUUGAGGGUGACCAUGUCCCCCGCCAUUGAUAUCCUCAAAUCUUCAAAUCUUGAAAGAUUAUUGUUUCUUGCCACGGACUGCAAUGGUCCACAAGUAGCCAGUUUCUAUGAACAACUCCAGGAGGAACGAUUCUUCCAAGUACCAGAUAAUGUUCUGACAAAGAUUAGAGAAGACUAUGGUUUCCAUGGUGAUUGGUGUGAUGAGGAAACUUGUUCUAAGGCCAUCAAAGAAACCUUUGAAAAAACAGGAUACCUUCUAGACCCCCAUACGGCCAUCAGCAAGGUGGUAGCAGAUCGUCACCCCUCCGACGAUGGAGCUCCGAUGCUCAUCUGUUCCACCGCUCACCAUGGUAAGUUUGCAUCCGAUGUCCUCGGCUCCCUAGGUCACAGAGCAAAUCACUCUGAUAGACCCGACCUCCUCCUGAAUCGACUCGGGGAUUUGAACCCCCGACCUGGCAGGCAUGUGAACCUGGAGAGGUCGGUGCGGAACCCUAGGGUUCAGAAGAAAGUUGUGGGUGCUUCAAUGGAGUCUAUGAUGAAGGAGGUGCAAGAUUUUGUGGAGGAAAGGAUAGGGAACUGAGUGCAUUCGAAAAUCAGUUUAUUCGCUUUUCCUGAUUAGAUUUUGAGGGAAGUAUAUGACUUUGUGCAGGAUAGGUAAGAGACCAACUGCAUUUUGAGCUUUUAAUCUUUUAGUGGCAAGUUGGAUGAGCUCAACACACUUUUAUCCAUGUAAAAAGUGCUUUCUAGUCGAAUGUCUUUCAAACGUAGCUAUAUUUUUCUCUACAUGAAAGUAUUAGCCUUGGGAAGCUUUUUCCCUUAUUUAUUGUUGUUAGGUGAUUGUUGUCAAAAAUAUAGUAUGUCAUUUUCAUCACCGUUGUAUUUUGAACAGUAUGUUUUGGGGAUAUAUUUUGUAGCCUUACCUUAACACACUAUGUAUUCAGUUAAUCUGUAACCUUUUAAUACAUGUACAAGAAGUAAAAUUAAUAGAGAAAUGCCUCCAUGCCUGAAGAUAUUGUACAAUAUGCUGUAGAGUCGCACUGAUAGACGUGUCCUGUAACGCGUGAGACAUGUAGAAUCAGAACUAUAACUAGUUGCAAAUGACUGAAAAGAGACAAUUUCUCCAAAUUACAAGAUAGGAUCCCAGAAACCCAUGUUUAAGUAAUUAAUUUUCUUUUAAGUUAUCUUGAAAUACCUUUUACUUUAAGUGGAGACGGCCAUCCAUUCAAGCCAUAAUGCAUGAAACGCAGCUUUCUGCUUUCCAUACCACAUUCAUUUCAGCUAAAAAUGGUGACUAGAAAUGUAUAUUUCAUAUGGCUUGUAUUUUACAUUAAGCACUUUUAGAAAUGCACGUGGACAUAGUCAACUGGUACGAGAUGACGUCAUUUUUUAGCGUUCCAUAUGCCUCAGGUCCUCACACACGUCCACUAUCAGAAUCGAGAACCUCGACACAUCCAUUUUGCGGUUCUCCUAAAUCAUAGUCGACGUGCACGUGAGUGACGUCAUUUAACCGCUCAAGCUCAGCAUGAAGUUCAACCUUUCCCUUUUAAAACACAGUUUUAAGUGACUUUUUCUCAAAAUUAAUGUAAGUUGUACGAUGCAUUAAGUUUAUCAUAUUUGAAAUUGCUUUUUGAUCUCCAAAAUUUAUAUCGAUAUAUAUCCUAACUCGCGUAAAAAGGAAUCAAAGCAAGUGAAAGGGCAAGUGUGCACAAGUUGCACCUUCGCAUCGCCCGACCGGGUCGCCAGGCGAUGGUACGCCCAGAUCUUCCGGGUCGGACAGCGUGUCAUGACCCGCUGGUAUCGUGCUGUUUCAAGUGGACGUACGUACACGUGUACAAGUCGAGUGAAAUCUAAAGUCAUCCGAUCUGUAGUAUGAGGGCAGACGACGACGUUGACUCGAGCGAUCAGAGGACUGCUACGACGUUCUCGUUCACUACUCCUAAAAGUCUCUAUUCUUUGAACUGUUGUUACCAAUUAUACCAUGUAUGAUGCUUUUUGUUGGAAUGCAGAAUUGAACAAAAUAACUUGACUAACUUUUGUACAAUAUCUUUGGGCAGGGAGUUCUAUAUUAUUAUUACACAUGUUCAUGUACAACCAGGAUUUUAACAGCCUGACUCAAUUUGCCUCACAUUUACUUAGUAUUCACCUAGAUGGGCAAAAAAAACCCACACAUAUCUAACUUUUGCCUUUGUCUUGCUUCUGAAAAGCUAUGACAAGAAUAUUUGAACAAAUUAUGUUGUUAGGUACUAAAAUAAAGCUAGACUUGAACUUUUCGCAAUGGAUGACUAGUAACAAUAUUGUUGCUUGCAGAAUUUAGCAUCCAAUUUGGUCAAAAUAUCGGCCUGGAAGUAAGAACCUUUUUAAUUGUUUUAGUCCUUUUUUUCAGAUUUAACUUCAAGCAAAGCUUGGCUGUAAUGUUGUAUCUGUAGCCAGGUUGCACAAUGUAUGUUUUGAUUUCUGGGGCAUGUUACAAAACACUUGCAAUCAACUAACAUCAAAAUGCAGGCUUCUGAUUGGUUGAAAAUCAAAUCGAGUUUGCUUUUCAGAAGUAUGUUGGAUUGCAAAUUGUGAUUCAACCGGACCGUUGUUUUUAUAGGACGAAAUGCGAUACCAUUUCAACUAAUAUCGAAACCGGUUCCUGAAGGCUAUCACAACAGGCAAGUUGUCCUUAAUCGAUAUCCCCAAGGAAAUGCUAGUGCCUCAUCAUCUAUCAAAAUGAAGGGGUUCACUGAUAUUGUAGUCAAUGGUCCGUAUUCUGAAGUCAGGUUUAAAUGAGACCAUGGUCUAAUUCUGUGCUAAAAUUAUGGGAAGCCAAAAGUGU